Molecule: long non-coding RNA, 379 nt
Organism: Bubalus bubalis (water buffalo)
Lineage: Eukaryota; Metazoa; Chordata; Mammalia; Artiodactyla; Bovidae
Exons: 2
Source: RefSeq, a predicted model, not a curated record
CUUUAUGACUAUAGGAGGAUAGAAGGCACAAGAUCUGAAAUAAAGUCCAUCCUGAGACAGUCCAAAGGAUACAGGGAUUAGGAGUAGGAGGUUCCCCUGAUCAGAUGUCUUUGUCAUUUUUCUAGUGGUCUGCUUGCCGUCUCUCAGCCUGGUGACACAAGCACCAGGUAUCUGGCCUUACCACACCAGUGGUACUGCUGACCCUACCUAGUGAUACGUGCUGUUUCAAGGACCCAUGGGAGACCCAGAAGGCCGCUAUUUAUGUCCAAAGUCACACACAACCUUUGUGCCAUUCAGAGGAGGAGGAACAUGUGAACUAAGCAUUCAGUUAAACAAAUGAACUCUUCUUAAAAAUCAUUAAAUCUAAGAAAUCAUUUCA